CGAACUAUAGAGUUUGAUCCUGGCUCAGAUUGAACGCUGGCGGCAUGCCUUACACAUGCAAGUCGAACGGCAGCGCGGGAGCAAUCCUGGCGGCGAGUGGCGAACGGGUGAGUAAUACAUCGGAACGUGCCCAAUCGUGGGGGAUAACGCAGCGAAAGCUGUGCUAAUACCGCAUACGAUCUACGGAUGAAAGCAGGGGAUCGCAAGACCUUGCGCGAAUGGAGCGGCCGAUGGCAGAUUAGGUAGUUGGUGAGGUAAAGGCUCACCAAGCCUUCGAUCUGUAGCUGGUCUGAGAGGACGACCAGCCACACUGGGACUGAGACACGGCCCAGACUCCUACGGGAGGCAGCAGUGGGGAAUUUUGGACAAUGGGCGAAAGCCUGAUCCAGCCAUGCCGCGUGCAGGAUGAAGGCCUUCGGGUUGUAAACUGCUUUUGUACGGAACGAAACGGUCUUUUCUAAUAAAGAAGGCUAAUGACGGUACCGUAAGAAUAAGCACCGGCUAACUACGUGCCAGCAGCCGCGGUAAUACGUAGGGUGCAAGCGUUAAUCGGAAUUACUGGGCGUAAAGCGUGCGCAGGCGGUGAUGUAAGACAGUUGUGAAAUCCCCGGGCUCAACCUGGGAACUGCAUCUGUGACUGCAUCGCUGGAGUACGGCAGAGGGGGAUGGAAUUCCGCGUGUAGCAGUGAAAUGCGUAGAUAUGCGGAGGAACACCGAUGG
This 720-nucleotide ribosomal RNA is filed under the name Variovorax sp. 1.13. RNAcentral describes it as "bacterial SSU rRNA". It matches the Rfam family "Bacterial small subunit ribosomal RNA", at positions 1 to 715 of the family's 1533-position model. The record is from RNAcentral. Lineage: Bacteria; Pseudomonadati; Pseudomonadota; Betaproteobacteria; Burkholderiales; Comamonadaceae.